GCCCGGUUAGCUCAAUCGGUAGAGCGUGAGACUCUUACCAUCGCCGUAAUCUCAAGGUUGCGGGUUCGACCCCCGCAUCGGGCU
RNAcentral lists this transfer RNA (84 nucleotides) under Claviceps sp. LM84 group G4. Its description in RNAcentral is "tRNA-Lys". It matches the Rfam family "tRNA". Rfam says of the family: Transfer RNA (tRNA) molecules are approximately 80 nucleotides in length. Their secondary structure includes four short double-helical elements and three loops (D, anti-codon, and T loops). Lineage: Eukaryota; Fungi; Ascomycota; Sordariomycetes; Hypocreales; Clavicipitaceae. The record is from RNAcentral. RNAcentral also lists the same sequence under 5 other names.